UAAAGUUGCAUGUGUGACUGGUUGGGGCAUCCCGUGUGCAGGACGGGAGUGGGAGUCGUAAUGGCGCUAACCAGGAUGGGUUCGGUUGGGGGUUGUGGGGAUUAGCCGCUGGGUUCUUUCUCCAUAGUGUCUCUCCGGACGCAUAGUACUGAGGCUUGAGCAGCUUAAGUAUUUCCAUGGUGUCUGUAGUGAAUCUUGCUGUUUAUCGUUUAUCACCCUGUUGUCUUUUGCGAAUGUAUUGGAUGAGAGAAAAUGACAUUAUCUUAACUAGAGACGAUAAAUCUAAAAAAGUAGUCCUCCUUAAGAAACAGCUGUACGAAGAACGUCUUAAUAUCUAUAUCGCUGAAUCAAAAGCUGAACUAUUAAGCAAAGAUCCAACUGAGGCGCG
This 388-nucleotide long non-coding RNA is filed under the name Androctonus crassicauda. Lineage: Eukaryota; Metazoa; Arthropoda; Arachnida; Scorpiones; Buthidae. The record is from RNAcentral.